AAAAGCAAACACUCUGAUCUUAGUCCAUUCUUCAGAUGAGAAAAUUUGCUUCCCCCAAGGGGUGUUGCAUUAGGAACAAACAAAGUUUGUAUUUCAGACUCCUGUAUUUCUAAACCCUGCCUCUGCAGGCUGGUUGUGUAGGCUGAGGCCUGGCUGGUUUUCCACAUUUUGGACUCUUGCUGCCCUGAAAUGGUUCCUCUGCUGCCCAAAUAAAGUGCAACUGCAGCAGAGAGAAGGAAACCCUACAGAGAACCUAAUUUCAGUAAGAUAAGUUAGGAACUGCUGAGCAAUAAUUGGCAACCUUUUCCUUUGUAGAGUGUUCUUUGCCACAGCCUCUAAGUGCUGAUGCUAUGGGCACUGCCAAGAAGGAACAAGGACCCUUGGGGAAAGAUCAAUUGAUUUGGGAUCAUCUUUUAUGUUGCAACCUAAUUACAGAAAUGUAUCUGGUACAUACAGUGCCGCACAAGCUGCAAAGAGGAGGACUUUGCUGGUGCUCAGUGGAAGGAGGCACCCAGCUGCACUGAGGGCACUGAAUGACUGCAGUGCUUUUAACACAAAGGCUGAGCUUGCAGCCCUGAUAUGCCUUAGUGGGUUCAAAUCCUUUUCAGAGUCAUCCUGGGAAAAUCACAUCAUUUUUAUGGCCAAGAUCCUCAAGGAAUUUGGGUUUCUCAACCUAUUCAUAAAUUAUUCCUUUUGUCUAGAUUCCCUUUUCUUUAGGUACGAAUUUAUCAGGGUAAGGUAAGGUCUUCUACGAGAUACACAGGACUCUGGCUCCUUGAUUUUGAGUGCUGUGCUGUUGUAGUAUCAGUAACUUCCUUUAUCAUUACCUUUUCUAAGGAGCUGUCUCUGUUCUAGCAGUGUUGCGUGGAACAGGCAUGUACCUGGGGCAGAGGUUUUGCCCUUAUCUCAGUAGUAUUAUUACAGUAAUGGGUGUAAAAAAUAACAUUUUUGGAGAGACUGUAGCCCAUCUUUGCAUCCUGUUGUAUUAGACUUGCUUAAGUACAUAUGGUCACACUCCCAUCUAGCGGCUGCUGCAUGCGGAGACUAACUCAAGGUCUGCCUGGCUGGAAUGAGAGGGCAAGUUGUCUUUUAGAUCCAAACUUCCCCUCCAGCCCCUUUUAUCCAUUAUUCAUAAGUCGUAGUGCUAACAGCCUCUGCAGCAAGGCCAGUGGCUUACAACUGCCUUGCAGCCCCCAGCAGAUGCAAGGGCAGUAGAGCAAACCCUGAUGAUUCUGGGUCUUGUUAGGCUACUGUUAGUAAUGUGAUGGAUGCCUCCACUAAAAUCUGUCAAAGCAGACACUUAUCUGUCUCUCUGUCCUUAUCAAGCCUCCUUUGUUCCUCCAUCAGUCUGUGCAGCUGGGAUUUUGAUCUGAAGAGUCCUUUUUGUAACCUCUGUGAUAGAGGUGUUGAUCUGCUUAGCUUCAAUCUCUCUUUGAAUGGACAAGGGAUAAUCUCUUUAGAACAAGUAGGGCAGUGAAGGGGCAGGGCAUGUACUGAGCUAGGGAAGAACAAUCUAAAACACCAAGCUUCAUCAUUUGUUGGAAAAUGAACUUCCCCACCGUGUUUGGAUUAAAGGUGAUACAACACAACACAUCAAAAGGUUGUGUACAAAGACCCUGGGUCUGGCUGCAGAUGUGGCUUCUCUGCUCCCUGGCCAGUUUAAAAGAAGGUAUCUUAGUCCUGAGCUGAUCGGCCCUUGGCCCAUUGCCUGCAAAGUGUUGUGGGUACAGUUUACCAUGGGAGUGAUGAUACCAGAGUGUUGCAGGUGGGCUUUUAGAGGUGUUCAGUGUUGGUCUAAAUCACCUAUGGACUGGCUUAACCAUCAUAAUUGGAACUCACUGUGUGUCUUAGAUCUCAGCUGGGAUUUUAACCACUGUCCAAAUGAUAAUUUGAGGGUUUUAACGUCUAUUUCCUCUUGUGCAGGUUUACGCCUUGUGAGGGACUUUUUGCACAGCAGGGGAUGUGUGUAGGUCAUGAGCGCUCCCUGUGUUCAUUUUCCUGUUGCAAAUGAGACUGAUAUGGCUGAGCAGCUCUUUCUCACAAAUGCAGUCAGCGUUGAAUGCUGCUGCUUCAAGGUGAGGGCUGAGCUAAGAAGAGGAAGGAAGAUGUGACAUGCUAUGAGAUGGAGGAAGCUGUAACUUGAGUUUGCCCCUGCUGUCAGAGAGACAGCAGAAGAUGAAGGAUUGCAGUGACUGCCACUGCUUGCAGGGACCACAGCAACAACUGCUUCACAUGCCCUCACCCCCCUUCAAGCAGCAGCUGCCACCACAGCAGUAAUCAGUUUUGCACAGUACAGGUAUGUUAAGUGCACAGAAGAAUAAGAAACAUCCAUAUGAGGAAGCUGGUAUGUUACAUACUUCUGCAGCCACUACAUCAGGUCUCUCCAUGCAAUGGCUGGCCAGCCGUAAGGAAAACAAAGAGUCAGCAAGUUAACCAGCAGCAGAGGAAUGAGCUCAUCAGUGUUUGCUGUGGGAAAGGACAGACCCUACCAACUUCUGCUCUGGGAGCCCAGGUGGAAAAUUGGCCAUGAAACCAGGUGGAGAGGCUUCUGUCAAGGAACCUACUUUAAAGGGCUAGUAAAGAUGAUGCUUUGAAGACAAGAUUAUGCUGUUAAAACCUCCCACCUAACAGACCAGCUAUUCACCUAUGUACUCUCAACAGGAGGAUGAAAACUGGUUGAUACCCCAG
This is a long non-coding RNA of Neopsephotus bourkii (Bourke's parrot), 2688 nucleotides long. RefSeq lists it as uncharacterized. The transcript has 3 exons. The record is from RefSeq and is a predicted model, not a curated record. NCBI's taxonomy places the organism in Eukaryota, Metazoa, Chordata, Aves, Psittaciformes, Psittacidae.